This 443-nucleotide ribosomal RNA is filed under the name uncultured bacterium. Its description in RNAcentral is "partial 16S ribosomal RNA". It matches the Rfam family "Bacterial small subunit ribosomal RNA", at positions 338 to 795 of the family's 1533-position model. The record is from RNAcentral.
CCUACGGGAGGCAGCAGUGGGGAAUAUUGGGCAAUGGAGGCAACUCUGACCCAGCAACGCAGCGUGAAUGAUGAAGGUCUUCGGAUUGUAAAGUUCUGUGAUGGAGGAUGAAAACAAUGACGGUACCCGAAUAGCAAGCAACGGAUAACUACGUGCCAGCAGCCGCGGUAAUACGUAGGGGGCAAGAGUUAUCCGGAAUGACUGGGCGUAAAGGGUGCGUGGGUGGUUUAGUAAGUUGGCGGUGUAAUUCCGGGGCUCAACCUCGGCGCUACCGCCAAAACUAUUAGACUUGAGUGCAGGAGGGGUAAGUGGAAUUCGUAGUGUAGCGGUGGAAUGCUUAGAUAUUAGGAGGAACAUCAGGGGCGAAGGCGAUUUACUGGACUGUAACUGACACUGAGGCACGAAAGCGUGGGGAGCAAACAGGAUUAGAUACCCUUGUAGUC